CAAAGAGUAAUAUAGUUGCAUAACAAUGUAUACAUAAAAAGAAGAUUAUAACUGCAAGAAGCAAAAUAAAGAGGCAAUAAUGGGAGGUCUUAUCACUGAAUAACUAUCUCUUCAGGUUCGAUUCUUGCACAGUACAAACUUCAACCCAAUAUGCAUCCAAAUCAUUUCGCCAUUUUCUAAGUGAUUUUUCAGGUAUUGUUCGCAAUGAAGUCAAGAUUUUGGCACAAUAUCAUCAUCAUAUAAAAACAGGGACUAAUAGCCCCAUUGCUGACCAUAUAUAUUAUUAUAUCAGAUCUAACUUUAUUCGGUAUUCUCUGGUUAUCAUCGUGGAUCGUGUCUCUAUAAACUUUUCACAAUAGGUUAAUUGAUUAAAUUUCUUCCUAUCCCUUGUUGGUACUUUGCCAGCGUAUAAAUAAGGGCCACUUUAGUUUAAUUGCAUUUACAUACUUAUCGAGAAAUAAUAUCAAACAACAAAACCAGCGACUUAUAUACGAAUAAACAGUUCCCUCAGAAUUAGAGCGGACAUCUCAAAACAGGAUAAGGUCGAUAAGAGCAAGGACAAUCAGUGCGCGUGAGAGGAAGAGAGCGAUUCGGUGGCGCCUGCGCAGCGUGCCGAAAGUGCCAAGUGUGCUCGGCGAAUCCGGCUACUUGUGGACCGCUGGAUAAUUCGAUGUUGCGUUCACAAAUUGAAAUAUUUAUGUACAUAAUUCUAAAGGAGUAUUUAUGAGUAAAUUGUGUUAUAAAAUUUGUCAAUUAUAAAGUCAA
Galleria mellonella (greater wax moth) is the source of this 765-nucleotide long non-coding RNA. RefSeq lists it as uncharacterized. Lineage: Eukaryota; Metazoa; Arthropoda; Insecta; Lepidoptera; Pyralidae. The record is from RefSeq and is a predicted model, not a curated record. The transcript is spliced from 2 exons.